GUGCUUGCUUCAGCAGCACGUAUACUAAAAUUGGAAAGAUACAGAGAAGAUUAGCAUGGCCUCUGCACAAGAAUGACAUGCAAAUUUGUAAAGUAUGCCAUAUUUUC
Molecule: small nuclear RNA, 107 nt
Organism: Diceros bicornis minor
Lineage: Eukaryota; Metazoa; Chordata; Mammalia; Perissodactyla; Rhinocerotidae
Source: RefSeq, a predicted model, not a curated record